AUAUAUAUAUAUAUAUAUAUAUAUAUAGAGAGAGAGAGAGAGAGAGAGAGAGAGAGAGAGAGAGCUAGGCUGGUAUACUAUCGGUAGCACGGAGGCCUCCAUGCUCCCAAGUUGUUUUCAAUGAUGCGGCUUCCAAAUCGACGAUCAGCUCUGUUAGACUUGAUCUACACUAUUACAAGUUUUUGGAAACUAAAUUUUAUAAUUUUUCGACAUCAUUUGGUUAGUGAUCAAAAUGUCUCAAAAUUGAUAAUUUUAAUGAAAGAUGUGAUGCGUUUGUGAAUUUAAUGAUGUAAAACAAUCCAAAUUUGAUAAAAUUUUUAUAGAAAUUUUUUUUUACUAUUUAUAGUAACAUCAGAACCUUUGAUCUUAAAUUAAAGUCUUUUAUCAUCAUUUUUUAUGAAAUUUUUAUUUUCAGCCGUUCAUUUUUAGACUACUCGUUUGAUAGGUAAAAGAUGCCGAAAAAUUAUAAAAUUUAGUUUCCAAAUACUUUCAAUACUGUAGAUCAAGUCUAACGGAGCCGAUCGUCGAUUUAGAAGCCGCAUCAUUGAAAACAACUUCGUAGCAUAGAGGCCUCCGUGCUACCGGUAGUAUACCAGCCUAGCUCUAUAUAUAUAUAGAA
Molecule: long non-coding RNA, 619 nt
Filed under: Ananas comosus (pineapple)
Lineage: Eukaryota; Viridiplantae; Streptophyta; Magnoliopsida; Poales; Bromeliaceae
Description: long non-coding RNA (ACOM_LNC020956)
Source: RNAcentral